RNAcentral lists this long non-coding RNA (865 nucleotides) under Scleropages formosus (Asian bonytongue). RNAcentral describes it as "lncRNA (ENSSFOG00015024941.1)". Lineage: Eukaryota; Metazoa; Chordata; Actinopteri; Osteoglossiformes; Osteoglossidae. The record is from RNAcentral.
GGCGCUGUGGAUGCUCAGCCAGGGGUGUGAGGUGAGGAGGAGCUCGAGGCAAGAGAGGUGAAAAGGUGCACGCACCCACACACAGAUGAGCAGUGUGUGAGAGCAGCAGAGGUCCUGGAGAAGGACUCCAUUCAGCCGAGCGGGAAGCGGAGCUUCCCCCAAGAUUUGGUGCUGCCUGAUCUUGAUCGACUCCUGAUGGAUCUUUUGUGUAGACUGUGGCUGCCGCCAAUUGCUGGAAAGAGAGAGACACCCUUGAGAACCUUCUCCCUCCGAUCGCUACACCAAGGCUAAAUCUCCUCUCUCGUGACCCCAUUAUCUCAAUGACAUGGUUAAACAUGGACACGAUAUACUUACGGUAUUUCCACCCCGACAUUCCCAGAAAACACAGUGUUCAAAAAUAAAAUUUCUACGCUGGCACUGCCUAGAGUAGAAGAGCUUUUUAUAGGCCGGACCCUUUGUCCGUCGCACUGCGUCUAUACUUGUCAACUGAAAUAAUUACUCCUGCAUUACGGACAGUUACACUGCACUUGAGCCGUCGCUGCCAUUGGGUGGAACAUGUACGGCUGCUCUUGUUCUUAGUGUGCUGUGCCAGCGAAGGUGCGUGGGGUUGCAUGCACUUACGGCCUAUGCACUGGACUUGCGGUCUCUCCCACUGCCCGUCUGCCAUGCAGCGCACCAGAGGCAGGUGGCGCUGUGUGAACCCAGGAUUGCACCGAUAGCGGAUCAUGGAGUUCACUUCAUAGAUUUCCUUCUGUUUCCCGAAGAUUCUAGCAUUCUUCACCUCCGGAGGGGGGCCACACAACACUACAGGGAAUCAGAGAUCAGAGAACAAGGAGGUUGCCCUGGAAGAGAUGAGAAAUGCUGA